Molecule: long non-coding RNA, 627 nt
Organism: Hemicordylus capensis (graceful crag lizard)
Lineage: Eukaryota; Metazoa; Chordata; Lepidosauria; Squamata; Cordylidae
Exons: 6
Source: RefSeq, a predicted model, not a curated record
GAAGAAGUGCUGGGAAAUAAUGGGUGGAAGGAAAGAAAGAAGUGGCUGGCCAGAAAAACAAGUGCAGGAGAGAAGGAGGAGAGGGCUUCUCCAGAAAGGAAGAAAAAGGAGGGGGCGAGACUAAUGUAAAUGGAGAGGGAGAAAGGUAUGCCACUGAGGCAGUAAAUUCCCAACAUGGCUCCAGGACAUGGAAAGGUAUGAAGCAUGUUCCAUUGACCUAGGCACAGCAGAUGAAAGUCUUUGGCCUUUGUCCCUGCAUUAAUGCGGCUUUCAUUAGAUGCUGAAGCAUUUAACUGUAGUGGUAAAAAUAGAAACUCUGGCAUGUAUUACCAUGCAAGAAUUCUACAGGAAGAGACAAUGCCAGAAAACUAGAGAAAGGUACAAAUGAAACCUACAAGUCAGUCUCCUGCACGAUCUGCAAAGCAGCUUAUGAAAGCUGGGGGAACCUUCCAGGACAGUGUCGGACAUAACAUGAGGAGCUUGAGUGGAAAGAGGAAACUGGGAAAGUCUGAGCAUUAUACACAGUAGCAGUUGGACCAAGCUGGAUCCUGGUUAUUAUAAUCCAGACCUUCAAAUGUAACUAUUAAAUCAAAAUUCAGUGUAAAUCCAAAAAAGUGUUAAAAAAUG